GUACACUCCUGCGGGAGGCAGCAGUGGGGAAUAUUGCACAAUGGGCGCAAGCCUGAUGCAGCCAUGCCGCGUGUAUGAAGAAGGCCUUCGGGUUGUAAAGUACUUUCAGCGGGGAGGAAGGCAAUACGGUUAAUAACCGUGUUGAUUGACGUUACCCGCAGAAGAAGCACCGGCUAACUCCGUGCCAGCAGCCGCGGUAAUACGGAGGGUGCAAGCGUUAAUCGGAAUUACUGGGCGUAAAGCGCACGCAGGCGGUCUGUCAAGUCGGAUGUGAAAUCCCCGGGCUCAACCUGGGAACUGCAUUCGAAACUGGCAGGCUUGAGUCUUGUAGAGGGGGGUAGAAUUCCAGGUGUAGCGGUGAAAUGCGUAGAGAUCUGGAGGAAUACCGGUGGCGAAGGCGGCCCCCUGGACAAAGACUGACGCUCAGGUGCGAAAGCGUGGGGAGCAAACAGGAUUAGAUACCCCUGUAGUCCCAUGAU
This 479-nucleotide ribosomal RNA is filed under the name uncultured organism. RNAcentral's name for it is "partial 16S ribosomal RNA". It matches the Rfam family "Bacterial small subunit ribosomal RNA", at positions 331 to 801 of the family's 1533-position model. The record is from RNAcentral.